CGAGCAGACAAGACAGCGGCGUGCGGCCGAAAGGCGCGCAUGAGGAAAGUCCGGGCUCCACAGGGCGGGAUAGCUGCUAACGGCAGCCGAGGGCGACCUUAGGGAAAGUGCAACAGAGAGAUACCGCCCGCCGUCCCGGCGGGUAAGGGUGGAAAGGCGAGGUAAGAGCUCACCGGCGUUUUGGAGACAAAGCGGCCCUGUAAACCCUAUCCGGAGCAACACCGACAGAAGGCGAUACGGCGGCCCGUCGUGCCUUCGAAAGCGUGGCUGGAGCUGUUGGGGCGACCCACAGCCAAGAUAGAUCGUUGUCAAAUACAGAACCCGGCUUAUAUGUCUGGUCGCAGA
RNAcentral lists this RNase P RNA (345 nucleotides) under Ruminococcaceae bacterium D5. RNAcentral's name for it is "Bacterial RNase P class A". It matches the Rfam family "Bacterial RNase P class A". Rfam says of the family: Ribonuclease P (RNase P) is a ubiquitous endoribonuclease, found in archaea, bacteria and eukarya as well as chloroplasts and mitochondria. Lineage: Bacteria; Bacillati; Bacillota; Clostridia; Eubacteriales; Oscillospiraceae. The record is from RNAcentral. RNAcentral also lists the same sequence under 3 other names.